Molecule: long non-coding RNA, 334 nt
Organism: Solanum dulcamara
Lineage: Eukaryota; Viridiplantae; Streptophyta; Magnoliopsida; Solanales; Solanaceae
Exons: 3
Source: RefSeq, a predicted model, not a curated record
GUAGUGUAAGGUCUUUUUUGGUUUACACGGAAAGAAGGCAAAAGAUAGAAAAGAGAACGAAACAGGCGAGAGAAAUUAUUUUGAUCGUUCAGAGGUUCUAUGCAAAGGGAAGGUUUUAGUUUGAUUGUUCGUGGCACCCGCUCGGCAUUGAGAGUAUGAUCCAGGCUCCAUCUCUACGCCCCGUGGCUGAUACUCGAGGGUGACAUCUUUCAGUUAUUCAGGGUAAGCUACCUGUCAUCCUUGGCCCUUAAAGGACCUUCUCUAUUUAUUUCUGUUUUUGUAUUCGAUAGACAACAUGUAGCCUUCGGGUAUUUUCAGACUUCUAUUACGUACU